This 305-nucleotide ribosomal RNA is filed under the name uncultured bacterium. RNAcentral's name for it is "bacterial SSU rRNA". It matches the Rfam family "Bacterial small subunit ribosomal RNA", at positions 334 to 656 of the family's 1533-position model. The record is from RNAcentral.
CGUGCCUACGGGAGGCAGCAGUGGGGGAUAUUGCACAAUGGGGGAAACCCUGAUGCAGCGACGCCGCGUGAGCGAUGAAGUAUUUCGGUAUGUAAACCUCUAUCAGCAGGGAAGAAAAUGACGGUACCUGACUAAGAAGCCCCGGCUAACUACGUGCCAGCAGCCGCGGCAGUACGUAGGGGGCAAGCGUUAUCCGGAUUUACUGGGUGUAAAGGGAGCGUAGACGGCAGUGCAAGUCUGAAGUGAAAGGCAAGGGCUCAACCCUUGUACUGCUUUGGAAACUGUGCUGCUGGAGUGUCGGAGAG